This is a transfer RNA of Xylona heveae TC161, 113 nucleotides long. It matches the Rfam family "tRNA". From Rfam's summary of the family: Transfer RNA (tRNA) molecules are approximately 80 nucleotides in length. Their secondary structure includes four short double-helical elements and three loops (D, anti-codon, and T loops). NCBI's taxonomy places the organism in Eukaryota, Fungi, Ascomycota, Xylonomycetes, Xylonales, Xylonaceae. The record is from Rfam.
GUCGUCUUAGCUCAAUUGGGAGAGCGCCAGACUGAAGCCCAACUUCUGUCCAAAACGCGCGAUGUAAGUCGCUAGUUAUCUGGAGGUACUGUGUUCGAUCCACAGAGACGACA